GUCUACGGCCAUGCCCCCCUGAACAUGCCCAAUCUCAUCUGAUCUCGGAAGCUAAGCAGUUCGGGCCUGGUUAGUACUUGGAUGAGAGAAAUUCAAAAGUGAGAAUGUUCCAAAGACA
Molecule: ribosomal RNA, 118 nt
Filed under: Octodon degus (degu)
Lineage: Eukaryota; Metazoa; Chordata; Mammalia; Rodentia; Octodontidae
Source: RNAcentral